UACGGUUCGGAACGUAACCGUUACGUACGGGGUCGGACGGGUAGAGUACGNGUACGGACNCGCUGCACGGGGGAUAAGCGGAAGAAAUUCCGUCUAAUACCGCGUAACAACGUUGGGAGGCAUCUCCCGAUGUUUAAAGAUUUAUCGGCUGCGGAUGGCCAUGCGGCGCAUUAGCUAGUCGGCGGGGUAACGGCCCACCGAGGCGACGAUGCGUAGGGGUUCUGAGAGGAAGGUCCCCCACACUGGUACUGAGACACGGACCAGACUCCUACGGGAGGCAGCAG
Molecule: ribosomal RNA, 284 nt
Filed under: uncultured bacterium
Lineage: Bacteria
Description: partial 16S ribosomal RNA
Rfam family: Bacterial small subunit ribosomal RNA
Source: RNAcentral